RNAcentral lists this ribosomal RNA (834 nucleotides) under Psychrobacter glaciei. Its description in RNAcentral is "bacterial SSU rRNA". It matches the Rfam family "Bacterial small subunit ribosomal RNA", at positions 72 to 902 of the family's 1533-position model. The record is from RNAcentral. Lineage: Bacteria; Pseudomonadati; Pseudomonadota; Gammaproteobacteria; Moraxellales; Moraxellaceae.
AUGAUAGCUUGCUAUCAGGCGUCGAGCGGCGGACGGGUGAGUAAUACUUAGGAAUCUACCUAGUAGUGGGGGAUAGCACGGGGAAACUCGUAUUAAUACCGCAUACGACCUACGGGAGAAAGGGGGCAGUUUACUGCUCUCGCUAUUAGAUGAGCCUAAGUCGGAUUAGCUAGAUGGUGGGGUAAAGGCCUACCAUGGCGACGAUCUGUAGCUGGUCUGAGAGGAUGAUCAGCCACACCGGGACUGAGACACGGCCCGGACUCCUACGGGAGGCAGCAGUGGGGAAUAUUGGACAAUGGGGGAAACCCUGAUCCAGCCAUGCCGCGUGUGUGAAGAAGGCCUUUUGGUUGUAAAGCACUUUAAGCAGUGAAGAAGACUCCGUGGUUAAUACCCACGGACGAUGACAUUAGCUGCAGAAUAAGCACCGGCUAACUCUGUGCCAGCAGCCGCGGUAAUACAGAGGGUGCAAGCGUUAAUCGGAAUUACUGGGCGUAAAGGGAGCGUAGGUGGCUCGAUAAGUCAGAUGUGAAAUCCCCGGGCUCAACCUGGGAACUGCAUCUGAUACUGUUGAGCUAGAGUAUGUGAGAGGAAGGUAGAAUUCCAGGUGUAGCGGUGAAAUGCGUAGAGAUCUGGAGGAAUACCGAUGGCGAAGGCAGCCUUCUGGCAUAAUACUGACACUGAGGCUCGAAAGCGUGGGUAGCAAACAGGAUUAGAUACCCUGGUAGUCCACGCCGUAAACGAUGUCUACUAGUCGUUGGGUCCCUUGAGGACUUAGUGACGCAGCUAACGCAAUAAGUAGACCGCCUGGGGAGUACGGCCGCAAGGUUAAAACUC